Molecule: ribosomal RNA, 112 nt
Filed under: Convolvulus lopezsocasii
Lineage: Eukaryota; Viridiplantae; Streptophyta; Magnoliopsida; Solanales; Convolvulaceae
Description: partial 5.8S ribosomal RNA
Rfam family: 5.8S ribosomal RNA
About the family: 5.8S ribosomal RNA (5.8S rRNA) is a component of the large subunit of the eukaryotic ribosome.
Source: RNAcentral
GCGAAAUGCGAUACUUGGUGUGAAUUGCAGAAUCCCGUGAACCAUCGAGUCUUUGAACGCAAGUUGCGCCCGAAGCCGUCAGGCUGAGGGCACGUCUGCCUGGGCGUCACGC